GAGAGAGACUUGCACAGUAACAAAAACUGCUAAUUUUUGGUACCUUGGUUGACUCCAGGGCUCACUCG
Molecule: transfer RNA, 68 nt
Filed under: Pampus argenteus (silver pomfret)
Lineage: Eukaryota; Metazoa; Chordata; Actinopteri; Scombriformes; Stromateidae
Description: tRNA-Ser
Source: RNAcentral